Molecule: non-coding RNA, 63 nt
Filed under: Nocardioides sp.
Lineage: Bacteria; Bacillati; Actinomycetota; Actinomycetes; Propionibacteriales; Nocardioidaceae
Also listed under: 1 other name
Source: RNAcentral
GAGGUGAGCCGAGAGGGCUCGCCCGGACGAGGGAGCCGUACCCGGAACGCCAUGACGGCCACC